CCUCUUGAAUCUGGAAACCGUCUCCAAGAUCCUCGCUGGCCUGGACAUGGAGUACAAUCCGGUGGUCUCUGCGCUUGUUGCUCGGGUGGAACCCAUCACCGUCCAGGAGUUGUACAAUCAGCUGCUGAGCUUCGAUG
Molecule: small nucleolar RNA, 137 nt
Filed under: Triticum aestivum (bread wheat)
Lineage: Eukaryota; Viridiplantae; Streptophyta; Magnoliopsida; Poales; Poaceae
Also listed under: 1 other name
Description: Small nucleolar RNA Z247
Rfam family: Small nucleolar RNA Z247
About the family: Z247 is a member of the C/D class of snoRNA which contain the C (UGAUGA) and D (CUGA) box motifs. Most of the members of the box C/D family function in directing site-specific 2'-O-methylation of substrate RNAs.
Source: Rfam by way of RNAcentral